UUAAUUGACAUGAGUCUUGGACAUGAACUCUUUACUUAUUCCAAGUGCAAAUUGAAAACACUAAAUACCACGUGCAGUUUUGUUCAAAGUAUGUGUAAGAUUUUUGUUCAUUUCUAAAUAAGUGACAUAAGACUUUCUAUAUACUGUUAAUCUUUUUUAUUUUUAUUUUUAU
Molecule: long non-coding RNA, 172 nt
Organism: Oxyura jamaicensis (ruddy duck)
Lineage: Eukaryota; Metazoa; Chordata; Aves; Anseriformes; Anatidae
Exons: 3
Source: RefSeq, a predicted model, not a curated record